UUGACCUCAGAUCAGGUAGGAAUACCCGCUGAACUUAAGCAUAUCAAUAAGCGGAGGAAAAGAAACCAACAGGGAUUGCCCUAGUAACGGCGAGUGAAGCGGCAACAGCUCAAAUUUGAAAUCUGGCGCAAGCCCGAGUUGUAAUUUGUAGAGGAUGUUUCUGGCGACGUGCCUUCCGAGUUCCCUGGAACGGGACGCCAUAGAGGGUGAGAGCCCCGUACGGUUGGAUGCCUAGCCUCUGUGAAACUCCUUCGACGAGUCGAGUAGUUUGGGAAUGCUGCUCUAAAUGGGAGGUAUACGUCUUCUAAAGCUAAAUACCGGCCAGAGACCGAUAGCGCACAAGUAGAGUGAUCGAAAGAUGAAAAGCACUUUGAAAAGAGGGUUAAAAAGUACGUGAAAUUGUUGAAAGGGAAGCGUUCAUGACCAGACUUGGGCAGGUUGAUCAUCCGUGGUUCUCCGCGGUGCACUCUGCCUGCCCAGGCCAGCAUCAGUUCGCCCCGGGGGAUAAAGGUUUCGGGAAUGUGGCUCCUCCGGGAGUGUUAUAGCCCGUUGCGUAAUACCCUGGGGACGACUG
Molecule: ribosomal RNA, 574 nt
Filed under: Clonostachys rogersoniana
Lineage: Eukaryota; Fungi; Ascomycota; Sordariomycetes; Hypocreales; Bionectriaceae
Description: eukaryotic LSU rRNA
Rfam family: Eukaryotic large subunit ribosomal RNA
Source: RNAcentral